UCGAGAAUCUUCCGCAAUGCACGAAAGUGUGACGGAGCGACACCGCGUGAUGGAUGACACCUUUCGGGGCGUAAACAUCUUUUAUAAAGGAGGAAAUUAUUGACGUUACUUUAUGAAUAAGGGGCUCCCAAUCUCGUGCCAGCAGGAGCGGUAAUACGAGAGCCUCAAGCGUUAUCCGGAAUUAUUGGGCGUAAAGGGUGCGUAGGUGGUUUGAUUAGUCUUCUGUUAAAUCUUCGAGCUUAACUCGAAA
This 250-nucleotide ribosomal RNA is filed under the name uncultured bacterium. RNAcentral describes it as "partial 16S ribosomal RNA". It matches the Rfam family "Bacterial small subunit ribosomal RNA", at positions 355 to 619 of the family's 1533-position model. The record is from RNAcentral.